GAUACUCNNUAAAUUUGGCGGCAAGUUGAUUUUUUAGAGGAACUUGUUUCGUGAUCGAUAAUCCUCGAUUUAUGUACUUUGAUUAAUUUAGCUUAUAUACCGUUGUUAUAAGAAUAUAUUUUUAGAUAAUUUUCUUUAGUUCUUUAAGAAAUUAUUUCAGAUCAAGGUUUAGUUAAUAUGGAAGUGUUAAUGAGUUACAAUGAAUGAAUUUAUACGGAUCAUUUAAUUUAAAUUUUUCGUGAAGGUGGAUUUAAGAGUAAAUUGGUUAUUUUAUUCUUAUUGAAGAAAAGUCUGACUUGUGC
This 302-nucleotide ribosomal RNA is filed under the name Spiralizoros caudelli. RNAcentral's name for it is "Zorotypus caudelli partial 12S ribosomal RNA". The record is from RNAcentral. Lineage: Eukaryota; Metazoa; Arthropoda; Insecta; Zoraptera; Spiralizoridae.